This 748-nucleotide ribosomal RNA is filed under the name Pseudomonas fulva. Its description in RNAcentral is "bacterial SSU rRNA". It matches the Rfam family "Bacterial small subunit ribosomal RNA", at positions 35 to 783 of the family's 1533-position model. Lineage: Bacteria; Pseudomonadati; Pseudomonadota; Gammaproteobacteria; Pseudomonadales; Pseudomonadaceae. The record is from RNAcentral.
CCCAGAGAUGGGUUCGCUGUAAAGUCGAGCGGAUGACGGGAGCUUGCUCCUUGAUUAGCGGCGGACGGGUGAGUAAUGCCUAGGAAUCUGCCUGGUAGUGGGGGACAACGUUUCGAAAGGAACGCUAAUACCGCAUACGUCCUACGGGAGAAAGCAGGGGACCUUCGGGCCUUGCGCUAUCAGAUGAGCCUAGGUCGGAUUAGCUAGUUGGUGAGGUAAUGGCUCACCAAGGCGACGAUCCGUAACUGGUCUGAGAGGAUGAUCAGUCACACUGGAACUGAGACACGGUCCAGACUCCUACGGGAGGCAGCAGUGGGGAAUAUUGGACAAUGGGCGAAAGCCUGAUCCAGCCAUGCCGCGUGUGUGAAGAAGGUCUUCGGAUUGUAAAGCACUUUAAGUUGGGAGGAAGGGCAGUAAGUUAAUACCUUGCUGUUUUGACGUUACCGACAGAAUAAGCACCGGCUAACUCUGUGCCAGCAGCCGCGGUAAUACAGAGGGUGCAAGCGUUAAUCGGAAUUACUGGGCGUAAAGCGCGCGUAGGUGGUUCGUUAAGUUGGAUGUGAAAGCCCCGGGCUCAACCUGGGAACUGCAUCCAAAACUGGCGAGCUAGAGUACGGUAGAGGGUGGUGGAAUUUCCUGUGUAGCGGGGAAAUGCGUAGAUAUUGGAAGGAACACCCGUGGCGAAAGCGACCACCUGGACUGAUACUGACCCCUGGGUGCGGAAGCGUGGGGAGCAAACAGGAUAGAU